This 253-nucleotide ribosomal RNA is filed under the name uncultured bacterium. RNAcentral's name for it is "partial 16S ribosomal RNA". It matches the Rfam family "Bacterial small subunit ribosomal RNA", at positions 524 to 776 of the family's 1533-position model. The record is from RNAcentral.
UACAGAGGCCUCGAGCGUUAAUCGGAAUCACUGGGCUUAAAGGGUGCGUAGGCGGCGCUGUAAGUGCCUUGUGAAAUCCCCGGGCUUAACUCGGGAAUUGCUCGGUAGACUGCAGUGCUUGAGGUCGGUAGGGGCUGCCGGAACAGUAGGUGGAGCGGUGAAAUGCGUAGAUAUCUACUGGAACGCCAAAGGCGAAGGCAAGCAGCUGGGCCGAUUCUGACGCUGAGGCACGAAAGCGUGGGGAGCAAACGGG